AUUGAACGCUGGCGGCAGGCCUAACACAUGCAAGUCGAGCGGAUGAAGGGAGCUUGCUCCUGGAUUCAGCGGCGGACGGGUGAGUAAUGCCUAGGAAUCUGCCUGGUAGUGGGGGAUACCGUCCGGAAACGGGCGCUAAUACCGCAUACGUCCUGAGGGAGAAAGUGGGGGAUCUUCGGACCUCACGCUAUCAGAUGAGCCUAGGUCGGAUUAGCUAGUUGGUGGGGUAAAGGCCUACCAAGGCGACGAUCCGUAACUGGUCUGAGAGGAUGAUCAGUCACACUGGAACUGAGACACGGUCCAGACUCCUACGGGAGGCAGCAGUGGGGAAUAUUGGACAAUGGGCGAAAGCCUGAUCCAGCCAUGCCGCGUGUGUGAAGAAGGUCUUCGGAUUGUAAAGCACUUUAAGUUGGGAGGAAGGGCAGUAAGUUAAUACCUUGCUGUUUUGACGUUACCAACAGAAUAAGCACCGGCUAACUUCGUG
RNAcentral lists this ribosomal RNA (484 nucleotides) under uncultured bacterium. RNAcentral's name for it is "partial 16S ribosomal RNA". It matches the Rfam family "Bacterial small subunit ribosomal RNA", at positions 30 to 507 of the family's 1533-position model. The record is from RNAcentral.